This is a long non-coding RNA of Oreochromis niloticus (Nile tilapia), 339 nucleotides long. RefSeq lists it as uncharacterized. The transcript is spliced from 2 exons. The record is from RefSeq and is a predicted model, not a curated record. NCBI's taxonomy places the organism in Eukaryota, Metazoa, Chordata, Actinopteri, Cichliformes, Cichlidae.
UGGGUCAUAUACAUGUAGUGUCACAGCGGUACAAAGGAUGUGCAAAAUGUGGGAUUUUUCUAAAGGCAGAAAAACUCCAAAUACUGCAACAAGGGGUGUGGUCUCUGGCUCCGCUGCAGUGGGCUCAAGGGGCUCAGCUAUGAAGGUUGAUGGGACAAGUGGACAUGAUCGCAUAAAUGAGGUCUCCUUCCUUUGAGUGACGCCGGGGACCUGAGACGAGAGAGCAUGGAGUCUGGACUCAGCUGCAAAGCUGACUGCCAGGAAAAAGACCACAGUGCAAAACCACAAAGGAACAUUUCUGUGCUCUAAAUAAAUGAAACCAACUAGGUAUUCAAACUA